CUGACAUGACCUGCAGGACUUUCAGAGUGAAAAAGUAUAAUACUAGGGGUGUCACAAUACACUCAGCUCACAAGACAAGACAAUACACAAUCCUGGAUUCAAGAGAACAAGAUGAGACAAGAAUAUAAGCAUGUCUACAUUUUCUAUCAGCAGCUGAGACCUCUGGCCACUAACUAUGUCUCCUGCAGAUGAAAGGACAAGCUCACUUGGAACAAAGGUGGCAGAGAUGGAAAGGUUGCAAGGGGCAGGUGGUUGACAAAAAUCCAUAUCGUGCAUCCCUACUGGGACCUCCAAGAAACUGCAGAUGAACAUUCAUUCAACAUCCAGAAACUCACAUUACUGACAAUACCACUGACUACCCUUGGAACAAAUUAGACACAUUUUCGCACACUAUGGUUUGACCUA
This is a long non-coding RNA of Acanthopagrus latus (yellowfin seabream), 405 nucleotides long. RefSeq lists it as uncharacterized. The record is from RefSeq and is a predicted model, not a curated record. The transcript has 3 exons. Lineage: Eukaryota; Metazoa; Chordata; Actinopteri; Spariformes; Sparidae.